ACCUACGGGAGGCAGCAGUGGGGAAUAUUGCACAAUGGAGGAAACUCUGAUGCAGCAACGCCGCGUGAAGGAUGAAGGUUUUCGGAUCGUAAACUUCUUUGAUGAGGGACGAACAAUGACGGUACCUCAAAAACAAGCCACGGCUAACUACGUGCCAGCAGCCGCGGUAAUACGUAGGUGGCGAGCGUUAUCCGGAAUUACUGGGUGUAAAGGGCGUGUAGGCGGGAAUGUAAGUCAGAUGUGAAACUCCGGGGCUUAACUCCGGAUCUGCAUCUGAAACUAUGUUUCUUGAGUGCUGGAGAGGAAAGCGGAAUUCCUAGUGUAGCGGUGAAAUGCGUAGAUAUUAGGAGGAACACCAGUGGCGAAGGCGGCUUUCUGGACAGUAACUGACGCUGAGGCGCGAAAGCGUGGGGAGCAAACAGGAUUAGAUACCCCGGUAGG
RNAcentral lists this ribosomal RNA (441 nucleotides) under uncultured bacterium. RNAcentral's name for it is "bacterial SSU rRNA". It matches the Rfam family "Bacterial small subunit ribosomal RNA", at positions 337 to 794 of the family's 1533-position model. The record is from RNAcentral.